GGAAGCCAGGACUGUGCAUCACAAACACAGCCAAUCCCAGGCUGCUCUGUCUGUGGACCGUCAGAGGACACUGCCCUCUUGCCUGGACUUCUCAGAGCCUUUAUUUCAUUCACCGGCAUUCAAGCGCUUCAGGAGGGGGAAAUAGCAAUCCAUGAUUCUCACUCUUGGCAAGGAGUCUCUGAAGUUAGCACCCUUCUAAGAAUCCAAACUCUACAAGCAGAGGUUACCAAGCACAGAGGCGUGGCACCCAAGGUCACACAGCUGUGCCCAACCUCAGAGGAUGAAGAUGAUUCACAUUUGAGGCUCUUCAGAAUAAUGUGCCUGGCUCUAAGGCAGCUUCCAAAGAGGACAUUCAGCCUGCUAUGGCUGUGAAGAUAUUCAACCCGAUGUCAUCCACUGUGAGGCAGAGGUUCUGGCAUUUUGUGGACAAAGCAGCCGGGAUUCUGUCACCUCGCUCUGCAUACACCAGCAUUUAAUGCAAGGUGUGAGUGAGGGCAUGUGUGGGUAUACUCAUGCCUGUGUGUUUGGGGGUGCAGGGGCUAGCGAGGUCCUGACAAAAGAGCUUUCUUCUGCAGAUCAUAGAGUGAAACGAUUCCUGUGCCCAAAAGGGAUUUUAAAAACAGCUCGAGAAGCUGAAAGCAAGAUACAACAGACAGUUCCACUCAAUUUGCUGCCUUCAGCCCGGCUGCGUACUGGAAACAUUUGGUCCUGCUGAAGCAUGCUUGUCUGCCUCCGGGGUCAGGGCUG
RNAcentral lists this long non-coding RNA (747 nucleotides) under Pan troglodytes (chimpanzee). Its description in RNAcentral is "long non-coding RNA NONPTRT000840". The record is from RNAcentral. Lineage: Eukaryota; Metazoa; Chordata; Mammalia; Primates; Hominidae.